RNAcentral lists this ribosomal RNA (465 nucleotides) under uncultured bacterium. RNAcentral's name for it is "partial 16S ribosomal RNA". It matches the Rfam family "Bacterial small subunit ribosomal RNA", at positions 338 to 795 of the family's 1533-position model. The record is from RNAcentral.
CCUACGGGCGGCAGCAGUGGGGAAUUUUGCGCAAUGCUCGUAAGAGUGACGCAGCGACGCCGCGUGAAUGACGAAGGCCUUCGGGUCGUAAAGUUCUUUCGACAGGGAAGAAAAUGCCUAUAAGUAACUGUGUAUGUAUUGACGGUACCUGUAUAAGCAGCCCCGGCUAACUCCGUGCCAGCAGCCGCGGUAAUACGGAGGGGGCGAGCGUUGUUCGGAGGGACUGGGCGUAAAGAGCACGUAGGCGGUGUUGUAAGUCAUUGGUCAAAGACUAGAGCUCAACUUUAGUAAGGCUAGUGAUACUAUAAUACUAGAGUAUCAGAGAGGAUUGCAGAAUUCCUGGUGUAGCGGUGAAAUGCGUAGAUAUCAGGAGGAAUACCGUUAGCGAAGGCGGCAAUCUGGCUGGAAACUGACGCUGAGGUGCGAAAGCGUGGGUAGCAAACAGGAUUAGAUACCCUUGUAGUC